GGAAUACGGACAAUACAUAAAAAUAAUAUUUACAACAUUGUGCAAAAAUACCCCUUAUUUCUCUUCCUUCACCACCCUAUCCAACAAACCUUGCUCUGUCCUUCCUUUGUCUCACUCAAUUUGGGCUAUGCAGGCCAUUUUUCUUCAUGUGACUUGUCGCGACUUCUCGGAAGGUUGGAGAUCUCUAGUAUUUGCCAGGGAAGGAGGUGCACGAUGGUGGAUUCCGGUCGAUGGCGGUUGCGGUGCAGGCUGCUUCGGCUUGUUGUCUUUUUUUGUUUUCCAGUUUGGGCCCAAUUCUUUGUUUGGACUUUGUUUUGCUUGGAGCCCUUAUUUUUACUUUGUGCUGGACAUGUAAUUGAGCCUCCUAUUUUGUAUAGUUAUUGGGUUGUUAAUGAAGUCACAUUCCCUCCCUUCCCAAAAAAGGAAAAUUAAUGAAAAAGGCUUGAAAAUUUUGAGUUUUAACGGUAAGGACAAAAUAAAGGGCAAAGUAAAUAGUAUCAGUUUUGACUUUUUAGUGUAAAAAUGUGGUUUUUUUAUUAAAGUAAACAGCACCGUGGGCUUUUCGUUAAAACUCCAAAAAAAAAAGGGUCUGAAAAUCAUAUCAUUGCUCCAUUUGUUUAUUAUUAAGGGGAAGGAGGUUAAGAUAAUAUACUAUUAUAAUUAAGAAAAGGGGAAUUUUCAAAUCCGAGAUGCAUGUAUUGAACUCCAACAUCUUAUUCAUUAAAAUAUUGGACCAUAUGCUUAAAAUGUAAGUCAUUUCCCAUUUGU
Molecule: long non-coding RNA, 768 nt
Organism: Malus domestica (apple)
Lineage: Eukaryota; Viridiplantae; Streptophyta; Magnoliopsida; Rosales; Rosaceae
Source: RefSeq, a predicted model, not a curated record